CCUACGGGAGGCAGCAGUGGGGAAUAUUGCUCAAUGGGGGAAACCCUGAAGCAGCAACGCCGCGUGGAGGAUGAAGGUUCUCGGAUUGUAAACUCCUUUUGUUAGAGAAGAUAAUGACGGUAUCUAACGAAUAAGCACCGGCUAACUCCGUGCCAGCAGCCGCGGUAAUACGGAGGGUGCAAGCGUUAUACGGAUUCACUGGGCGUAAAGGGGGCGUAGGCGGGGUUGCAAGACAGAUGUGAAAUCCUAUGGCUUAACCAUAGAACUGCAUUUGAAACUGUGAGUCUGGAGUAUGGGAGAGGUAGGUGGAAUUCUUGGUGUAGGGGUGAAAUGCGUAGAGAUCAGGAGGAAUAC
RNAcentral lists this ribosomal RNA (354 nucleotides) under uncultured bacterium. Its description in RNAcentral is "partial 16S ribosomal RNA". It matches the Rfam family "Bacterial small subunit ribosomal RNA", at positions 338 to 709 of the family's 1533-position model. The record is from RNAcentral.